This 40696-nucleotide long non-coding RNA is filed under the name Cicer arietinum (chickpea). RNAcentral's name for it is "long non-coding RNA (CARI_LNC003012)". The record is from RNAcentral. Lineage: Eukaryota; Viridiplantae; Streptophyta; Magnoliopsida; Fabales; Fabaceae.
CACCUAGUAAGUGUUAGAGGAAAAGAUUUAGGAAGAAAAAGCAAUGUCAAGUCAAUUAUAUUGUUGAAGAAAUAUCAUCAAAUAUAUCACCUUAUUUUGAUGGUACAUGUACUACUUCUGAAAAUGAAAAAUGUAAAUAUCCAUUAAGUCUCAAGAUCCAGGAAUGUGGCGUAUCAUAAUAGAUGGAAACUUCGUACCAAUAGUAAAUCUAAGUGAUCCAAUAUCUGCUGAAAAGGGUGAGGAAGAUUGGACAACAUAAGAAUAAGUCAAAGUUCUUCUAAACUCUAAAGUUCAAUUAUUUCUAUAUUGUGCUUUAAUUAUUGUGGAAACUGAAAGGGUUGAUGAAUGCGGCACAAUAAAGAAAAUAUGGGAUACACUACAAACUCACCAUGAAGAGACAAACCAUGUCAAAGAAACAAUGAUAUAUAUUGGUGUACGAAAAUUUGAACUAUUUGAGAUGACUAAAAGGAAUUGUACAAGAAAUCUUAAGAGCUUGAGCAAAAGAUUUGAUUAAGGACAUUGAAGUUGUGAUCGACAAUCUGCAAGGAUUUUCUUAAUUAGGAACAUAUAUACAGACAAUUGGUUUGCUUUCCUAUAAGGAUUUGCUUUCCAUGUUUUCUAUUCUUGAUCUCCAACGUUUUGAUCUAUCAUGUUUUACUAUUUUUUUUCUCUUAAUUGUAAACUUCUUAACGUAUGUAUAUAUUUUUUCCUUUCAUAUUUAAUUAUUUUAAAUAAUACUACCCAUAAAGUAUUUUAUUUUUUUCAUUUCUUCAUUUUAAUUUUAAUUUAAAUAAUGUUUUCUUCACAACAAACAUACUUAUCAAUAUUCUCUCCAUUCUUAUUUACAAACAAAACAAACAAAAGUAUUGAUGUAUUUGGUUCAAACACUUUUAUUUAUAGAUAAGAAUAGAGAGAGUAUUGAUUAAAAAAACACUUAUUAGUAUUACAUUAUACAUGGAUGAGAUUCGUUCGACUUUAAGAGUAAUUAUGUAAUGCAUUAUUUCACUUAAUAAUUCAAUAUAAACGAUGAAAUAUAUUUAUUCAAUCGUUGAUUAUUGAUAUAAUAUAUUAAUGAUCAAGCACACAGUUUUAUAUAAAUCGAAAAUUCAUAGCUAUGUAGUCUACACUACGCGAAAAAUAGUGUUUUACACCGCUUUUUUUUAAGCCAUUUACAGCGCUUUUUCAAAAAAUUAAGCGUUGUAGUAUCUAGCGCCUUAAAAAGAUACAACAUCGCUCUUUAAAAUAAAAAAGCGUUGUAGAUCCCUUCUAAAAAUGUGCUACUUGUUGUACACGUUUUACAACGCUUUUUCAAAAAAGCAUUAUAAUAUGUGCAUUCUUAUGCACGUUUUACAGCACUUUCUUAUUUAUUUUCAAAAUUAAUGUUCCUUUUUUUUUCUCACCAUGUCUCAUCCAACAUGUAUAGCUUUGAUCAAUUCCAUUCCAUACUAAAUGUCCUUCCAAUUCAUCUUCUCUAACGCGUUUUCCAAAACAACAUUUUAAACAAGGACAAACGACUCUAUUUGGAUCUUUUGCAUUCUUCACUGCAAACUCAACAAACUCCUUCACUCCAUUUUCAUACUCUUUUGAUAAUCGAUUGACAGACAUCCAUUUCCGGUCCAUAUUAUAUGACCUAUAUAAAUGCAGUUACAAAAAUAAUAAGCUACUGCUAACAUCAACCAUUAUGUAACAAUUUCACAACAGAAAAGAUUUCAAAACAGAACAGAUCAAUAAAUUUCAAAAAAGAAAAGAUUUUAUAUGAUUUAUUAUGUAACAAUUUAUUAGUUUUCGUGACAACAACAAAUUAAUAAAUACCUGAGACAAUGUAUCCAAUUUUUUUUAAAGGAGGAGCAGUAGAUGGCCGCACAGUACGUAGAGGAGAUCAGGGUUCUCAUAGUAGAGGUGAUGAGGGUUCGUAAAUUUGUUUUAAAUUUAUUUUUAUUUAUUUAAAGUAAAUGAUUUUUAUUUAAAGUGAAUGAGUGAAUGAUUUUACAGCCCAUUUGUAGAAUAAGCGCUCAAAUAGGUUAUUCAGUUAUGUGACCUUUUACAGCGCUUGUAACAAAAGCGCUCUAAUAGGUUAUUUAUUUAUUUGAAAGCGCAUGUCUUUUACAGCGCUUGUAAAAAAAAGCGUUGUAAUAGGUCAUUUAAUUAUUUGAAAGCGCAUGUCUUUUACAGCGCUUGUCCAAAAAGCGUUGUAAAACAUUAUGUGAAGGCGCUUCAUUAUACAGCGUUUGUGUAAAAGCAUUGUAAAAGCCUUGUAAAAAUUUUGCGCAAACGCUAUAUGACCCUACAACAGCGCUUGUCAAAAAAGCGCUGUUAUAUGCUCCGUUAUUUUUAAAAUAUAUUUACAACAGCGCUUGUAUUUAGUAAGCGCUGUUAAAGGCGCGCUAUAAAAUCCUAUUUUUGGCGUAGUGACAUAAACAAAAGCUAUUCGUUAAGAUCAUAAACAAAAUAUUAGUUAGAAACUAUAGUUUAUAAUGUACCACAUUAUAUAAAAGUGAUGUUUACUUACAAUUUUUUGCUCUAAACGUGCAUAUCCCAUACGAGGUUUUUUUUAUGGAUGCGUUGGAUUUUUUGCCCUCUCGCGAUUUUGUGUACUUAUACUCUAUAUAAAAAAAAUAACAAUCGUUUAAAAAUUUAAAAUACGCUAUGAAUAUGAAUAAUAAAACACAAAUGCUAAUAAAUUAAUCACUUACCACAAACGUGAGGUCUGCACGUUUAGCUACAAAUGCGCUUCAUUCGCCAUUUGAUAUAUAGUGUUUAUAUAUUUUUGGAGCUUCAACAUUCAUAUUUCCAUCAUGAUCUCUUAGGUAGCAGUUUGACAUAUGAGAUCUAAAUCUCCCGUGUAUUUUUCCGGCAACUCUAAGCAUGCAAGUUUUUCUCACCUCAUCAACAUCAAAAGCAGACUGCAAACCAAAUAAAGAUAUAGUUUGUGUAAAGUAUUUCAGUGGAAAAACAUAUAAGUAACAAAAAAGUGGAGUAAAAAAGUUACUUUUAUAUCAUUCCACAGUAUAUCUUUUGCAUCUGUCAAAGCCUUAUCUCUCCAAUCGUCAAUUGUAAUUGGGAUAUUUUGACGAACAACAACACCAAUAUAACUUACCAACAUGGAACUGUUGGGCUCAAUUGGCUGGCCACUUUCAUUCCAUCCCACCUAAUAAACUCAUAUAGUAAGUACAUGCUUUCAAAAAAGAUAAAAAAUAAACAGCAAACAAAGUAUAGUAUACCUCAAAUUUUAUGUCAUUACUUCUUGCUUUUAUGACAUUUUGCAUAAUGGUUGCACCAUGUUUAACUUUAUUUUCAUAAGUCUUUGUGUUGACAACUUCCUCAUUUUGACGAUCCAAAGCCUUGUUAGAAUCCAUUUAUCUACAACAAGUUCAACAUGCAGUUCAGUAUAACUUCAACAAGUUCAACAUGCAGUAGUCUAAGUACAUAGCAGUAUAAGUUCAACGUGAAUUUCAGUGACAACAAAAAAUUAAUAAAUACAAUACCUGAAGAGUGCGAAGAAAAACGUAGGGUUCGUAGGGUUACAGCUUCAUUUAAGAAGGAACAGCGAGAAUGCGCAGAAAUACGAACGGUUUGUAGGAUAGAGUUGGGUUCGCAGAAAUACGUAAUGAGGGUUACGUAUUUCAAUGAGAAGAGUACAUAUUUCAAUGAGGGUUCGUAGGGAUAGUAACAAAGAUAAAGAUGGUUCGCAAUGGAGAUGGUUAACAAUAUGGUUCGUAGAGACAGUAGGGUUCGCAAUGAGAAUGACAAUGAAGAGGAGGAGGACUCUGAAGCGUAGUGAAGUUUACGAAAUGAAGAGGAAACUGAAGCGGUUUACUGUUAUAUAUAAAAUCCUAUUACAACACUUUUUUGAAAGAGCGUUGUAAAAGACUUCCAUAUUUUAUUUUUUAAAAGUCUAUUACAUCGCUUUUGCAACAAGCGCUUUAAAAGACCUCUUUAACAAGUGUUUUUGCAGCAAUUGAUAACAUUAUACCAAUAUAUAGUACACAUAUCUAAUAUUGGAAAAUGGAAACCAAGGUCCAAGACUGAUUUCAAAACAGAACAGAUCAACAAAUUUCAAAAAAGAAUAGAUUUUAUAUGAUUUACUAUGUAACAAUUUAUUAAUUUUAGUGACAACAAUAAAUUAAUAAAUACAGUACCUGAGACAACAUUUCCAAUUUUUUUUAAAGGAGAAGUAGUAGAUUGACGCAAAGUAUAGGAGAGGAGGGUUCGCAGAGUAGAGGAUAUAAGGGUUCGUAGGGUUAGGACAAUGUAUUAAAUUUAUUUUAUUUAUUUAAAGUAAAUGAUUUUUAUUUAAAGUGAAUGAUUUUAGAGCGCUUGUAUAAUAAGCGUUCUAAUAGGUCCUUUAAUUAUGUGAAAGCACAAGUCUUUGACAGCGCUUGUAGAAAAAACGCUCUAAUAUGUCAUUUAAUUAUGUGAAAGGGCAAGUCUUUUACAACGCUUGUCAAAAAAGCGCUUUAAAAGCUAUGUAACAUAAGGUGGGAGCGCUAUAUUUUACAGCGCUUGUGUUUAAAACGCUCCAAAAGCACUAUAAAACAUUAUGUGAGGGGCUUCAAUUUACAGCACUUUUAAAAAAGCGCUAUGUGACCCUACAACAGCGUUUUUUCCACAGCGCUUGUCAAAAAGGCGAUGUUGUAUUCUCUGUUAUUUUUAAAAUAUUUAUACAACAGCGCGUGUAUUUAAUAAGCGCUAUAAAAUGUCAUUUUUGGCGUAGUACUACUUAUUGAUAUCUAGUUAUAUUUUUUAAAAUUUUAUUAUACGUUCAUUUGAAAUUAUUUAAUAAAAUAUCAAAUAAUUUUAAAAAUUUAUAAGAUUAAUCUACUCAAUAUAAACUUUUAAUUUAACGAUUAAAUUAAUGUAAUUCAUCGUUUAUAUUGAGUUACUUAUUAGGUCAAUGAAUCCCACCCAUUAUAUUAUAUAUUACUAUUAUUAUUAUUAUGAUUAUGAUUAUUAUUAUAUACAUAAAUCUGUUAUUAUGUAUCCAUUAACAAAUAUAAAUACGAAUCCACUUUUUGAAAAUAUGAUUAUAAGUGUCAUGUUGCUAUCCAUUUGAUAUUUAACGUAAGUUACCUACGUGCCAAAAGUUGGUCUAUUGUGAAAAUUAUUAUUUAAUGAAUAUUCAUUUAUUUAUCAAUAUAUAGUAAUGAAUAUAUUGUAAAGUAUAAAUGUUAUAUGCUAUAUGAUUUAUUUUAAAUUUUACUAUAAAUAUAAUUCAAAUUUAAUAUAAAUAACUUCAAAGAAUAGUUUAAAUUUUAUAUUGCAAAAUAACGAUUAAUACCACCGUUACUAAUAAUAUAUCCCUCCAAUUUUAUUUUUAAAUUCAAUAUACAUAAAAACAUAUAAACACUCAUUAAACAAGAUUUUUAAUAGAAAAUUUGCAUAUAUAUACAUUUUGAAAGGUUCUUUCAAAUUACGCUUAAGGAAGUGUAAUGUUUAUAAUGCGUAAUAAACAAUUAUCUGAAUAUUUUAAAAUGAUAGAAAUAAAACUUAAUCCACGAGAAUGUAUAUUUUAUAUAAAACCAACAAGAGAUGUUUGGUUUGUAGUAAAUGUUUGAUUUUUGUAGUUUUAAGAAACAUAACGUCACUGUUUUAAAUAAUAAUAAUUUUUCAUUAUUUAAUUUUCUUUUGAAAUAUUUGUAUAAAUUAAUAUUAACAACUUAACUAUAGAAAUGACAAUUAACAGAAGACCAAAAAAAAUCGACACUUCACAAAUAUUUUAAUUAUAUUUGCAACGGAAUACAACUAUUAUUAAAACAAUAAUAUAUAUAAAAUAAUUAUUCUUACGAAGGAAAACUAAUCCAUGCUUAGCACGAGUCAUUUACACUAGACUUUUGAAAAAUUAAGAUAAAUAUACGAUAACAAAAAAAAAUUUAUAAUUUAUAAUUACUUAAUUUAAUACUAUUUAGAAAAUCAUAAAAAUUGGGCAUCUAUAAAUAUAAGAAAUUCUCUAUAUAAAAUAUUAUUAUAGACAGAUAAUUAUAUUCAAAAAGGGAAAAACAAUUGCACAAAUAUGUACUAUAUUGUUCAGAUAUUAAAAAAAAAAAAAACUAUAAUAACAAACAAUCAAUUUUAAAUUUUUUGAAAUAUUAAAUCAAGUCCUUAAAUCAAUUAAUUCUUUUUUGACUAAAAAAUCAAUUAGUAUUUUAAAAAUUAUAAAUAAUAAACAUAUUUUAUUUCAAAUUUAGGAAAAUAAAAGAAUACUCAAUGCAUAUAAUAUGUAAUAUAAUGAAGAGCAUAUUCUAUUCCAUAUUUAGGAAAAUCAGAUUUUAAUAUAUGAUAUUACAUUUAUCAAAUAUAAGAAAAAAAAUCUAAAAACAAAAAAUAAAAUUUUUAAAAACUUUCUUGUCAUUUAAUUUAAUCAAUAAAGAUUCUGAAAUUCAUGCAUAGUGGUUAAUUUAAUAAUAAAAAUAGAACUAUGAGUAAAAUAUCUAUAUCACAUAUAUAAAAGCUACAUUCUAUUAUUUUUUUGCCACAUUCUAUUCUAAGCUUACGAAAAACAUAUCAUAUAAGAAUUUAAUUUAUAUGCAAUAUAUGUGUAAAAAAAAAUUACAUUGUCAAUCAAUCACAAUCGUUAAAUUAUUAAUAAUGUUUGAUUUUUCUCAUAUCUAUUUAUAAAGUUAUAUGCAUGAUUGAUCUUGAUUUAUCGUUUGUGUAAAACUUUGUGCACUAUUUGUUGACACCUAAUUUUGUCCAAUUUUUACCUUUUAUUAAAAAAGGAAAGAAUAAUAAUAAUGAUAAAUAUAUAAAUAUAUGUGAAGAAAUAUAAAAAUAAAAAUAAAUAAUUAGGGAUAUAAGCUUUUAACAAUCACAAGUGUUUUCGAUUCUUGUUUGCCUCUAAUUCAUGUUCAGACUAUUUUAUAAAAUAUAAAAAAAAUAAGAAAUAAAAAUAAAGGAAACUGAAAAGAAAUGAAUUGAUGGUCAUAAAAAUCAGAAUAAUGGUGAUCAAUUGAAUAGAAAAGAAAAUCGAAGAUAUGAAUCAAUGGCAAUAAGAAUCGGUAUAAUUGUGGCCAAUUAAAAGAAAAGAAACCAAAAAAAUAGAUUAAUGGUAAUCAAUUGACAAUUAUUCUUUGUCUUUUGAAAUCUAUAUCCAAAAGUCUAUAAAUAGUCUGCCACAAGAAGACAAAAAGGAGCACAAUUGAAAACACAAAUUAAGAGCACAAAAAAAAUAGAUUAAUUAGAAAAAGAGAAGAAGAUAUUCUGAUCUUGAAAUAAUCAGUCUAGUAAGGUAUCAUUUUCUUAUUUUUUUCUCUAUUCUGCUUAUUAGUAUUUUUUUUUAUAUUUUUUUAAAUAUAUAUAUUGUUUCUCUUUCUAUUUUUUUUUUUGUUUAUAAAAAAUAAACUCAUAUGUUAAGCUUUCAUUUUAUUUUGGCUUAAUUGCACUUUUGGUCCCCCUAUUAUAGGUGAAAAUUGAAAGUAGUCCCCCCAUUUUGUUUCUCCCCAGUUUUAGUCCCCCAAACAGAAUUUGAGUCCAAAUCAUCAUGAGUUGGCAUUUUUUUAAUGACGUGUCAAAAAAAAGCUGAUGUGGCAGACGCAUACGUGGAAUAAAAUUAUUAUUAUAUUAUUUCUAAUUAAAAAAUAUAAUUUAUAUUUUUAAAAUCAUUAUUAUAAUUGUUAAAAAUUAUUAUUACAAAUAAAAUUUAUUUGUUAUAAUUAAAUUAAAAGAAAAUGCUAUCAUCCACAGGCAUGGCACCUAUGCGACCCUAAUGCAGAAGUAGUAUUCAGAACUCUUAGAAAAUCAGGUGUAAAGUUGGCUGUUGUAUCAAAUUUUGACACUCGGUUAAGACCUCUCCUGAAGGCAUUAAACUGUGAUGAUUGGUUUGAUGCUGUAGCAGUAUCGGCUGAGGUAAGUUAAUUGCUUUUUUCUUUUUUCCGCAUUUUGUUCAAUCAGUUUGUGUUACUACAGGCUCUCCACUUUUCUCCAUCAUCGAUUGAUGAAUACAACUUACUGUGUUGAUUUCAUUCACAAUGAAGAGUAUCAUCAUUGCGAAAAAAAUAUUUGGGAAGGAAAUGGUGGAAAUAAAUCUUAAGUCAUUCAUUGUCUCAAGUCACAUCUUGCAGAAACAUGUUAGGAAUUGGGAGCUUUUGUUGAAUUGGAGCUGUUUUUUAAUUUAGGGUUCAAGCUUUUGUUGAAUGAUAUGCUUCUGGUUCAAGUUUAGGGUUCAUUUUUUUUAAUUUAAUUUUAACAAUUAAAUUUUAUUUGUAAUAAUGAUUUUUAACAAUUAUAAUAAUGAUUUUUAAAAUAUAAAUUAUAUUUUUUAAUUAGAAAUAAUAUAAUAAUAAGUUUAUUCCACGUAAGCGUCCGCCACGUCAGCUUUUUUUAUUGACACAUCAUUAAAAAAAUGACAACUCAUCAUGAUUUGGACUCAAAUUCUGUUUGGGGGACUAAAACUGGGGAGAAACAAAAUGGGGGGGACUACUUUCAUUUUUCACCUAUAAUAGGGGGACCAAAAGUGCAAUUAAGCCUUUUAUUUUUUAAAUCGUUUAAUCCUAGAAUUGUUUUCUUUGCAAUAUAAAAUAAAAUAAAAAAUAUAACUAAUUGAUGUCUAUAGAUCAAGAAAACAAAUUUCAUCAUAUUGUAAUGUAAUAGAAAAUUCAUAAUACGUUUUUAUCAAAUACAAUUAUAACAAUAAAUGGUUUUACCCUUAAAAUUAGAAUUAAUGGUUGUCGUCACCGGAUGAAAUUCAUCCUCGCUCGCUGCACCAUAUUAUUCACUUUCAAUCGUUAGUGGCAUUUGUGUCGCGACAGAUCCGACAACGUACGAGCAAAUCAUUUAACAGUACGAGCAAAUCAUUUAACAAGUUAUUUCACCGUCGUGUCCAUCUGUCUCGUUCACAUACCGCCACGUUACGUUUUUUCUUUUAAAUUUUUUCUUCUUCUUUACUUUAAAACAGACAAAUAUUAUUAUUAUUAUUAUUAUAUUUAUCAUUAUUAUUAUUAUUAUUACAUUUUUAUUUUUUAAUACAUAUAUAAAUAAAAAAAUAAUAAUAAAAUUGGUCAACACACAAAUAUUUUCUACCUAAGAAUUACGUGUGUUUUGAUUUCCCUAUUGCAGAUGAGGAUACGUAGGAGCAAUGUCUUACCCUUGUCAAACCAAAUUAAUAAAACAAAUAUUUUUUUCUUCUUUCAUUAAUGUAAAUAAUUUAAUUUUUUAUUAUUCUGUUUGAGGUGUCGCGUUCGGUUUGUCCGCGAAAAAGGAGUCGCCACAAAUUUUAUUUUUAUUAAAGGAAAAAUUGGAUAAAACCUAAAAUAAUAUUUUUGAAACAAAAAUUUGGAUUCGGGAGUCGAUUACGAGUGGGGAAGUAUUUAUUUAUUUUUACCCCAAAAAAAAUAAUAAAAAAUUAAAUCAUUUACAUUAAUGAAAGAAGAAAAAAAUAUUUGUUUUAUUAAUUUGGUUUGACAAGGGUAAGACCUUGUUCAUAGGUUUCCAUAGGUGCAAUAGGGAAAUCAAAACACACAUAGUUCUUAGAUAGAAAAUAUAAAUAUUUGUGUGUUGACCGAUUUUAUUAUUAUUUUUUAUUUAUAUAUGUAUUAAAAAAUAAAAAUAAAAAUGUAAUAAUAAUAAUGAUGAUAAUAAUAAUAAUAAUAAUAAUAAUAAUAAUAAUAAUAAUAAUAAUAAUAUUUGUCUAUUUUAAAGUAAAGAAGAAGAAAAAAAUUUAAAAAAAAACGUAAUGUGGCGGUAUGUGAAUGAGACAGCGGUGAAAUAACAUAUUAAAUGAUUUGCUCUUACGUUGUCGGAUCUGUCGCGACACAAAGGCCACUAACGAUUGAAAGUGAAUAAUAUAGUGCAGCGAGCGAGAAUGAAUUUCAUCCGGCGACGACAACCAUUAAUUCUAAUUUUAAGGGUAAAACCAUUUAUGUGUUAUAAUUUUUUUUGAUAAAGACGUAUUAUGAAUUUUCUAUUACAUUACAAUAUGAUGAAAUUUGUUUUCUUGAUCUAUAGAUAUCAAUUAGUUAUAUUGUUUAUUUUAUUUUAUAUUGCAAAGAAAACAAUUCUAGAAUUAAACGAUUUAAAAAAUAAAAUGAAAGCUUAACAUAUGAGUUUAUUUUUUAUAAACAAAAAAAAAAUAGAAAGAGAAACAAUAUAUAUAUUUAAAAAAAUACAAAAAAAAAUACUAAUAAGCAGAAUAGAGAAAAAAAAAAUAAGAAAAUGAUACCUUACUAGACUGAUUAUUUCAAGAUCAGAUUAUCUUCUUCUCUUUUUCUAAUUAAUCUCUCUAUUUUUUGUGUGCUCUCAAAUUGUGUUUUCAAUUGUGCUCCUUUUUGUCUUCUUGUGGCAGAUUAUUUAUAGACUUUUGGAUAUAGAUUUCAAAAGACAAAAGAAUAAUUGUCAAUUGAUUACCAUUAAUCUAUUUUUUCAGUUUCUUUUCUUUUAAUUGGCCACAAUUAUACCGAUUUUUAUUCCCAUUGAUUCAUUUCUUCGGUUUUCUUUUCUAUUCAAUUGAUCAUCAUUAUUCUGAUUUUUAUGACCAUCAAUUCAUUUCUUUUCAGUUUCCUUUAUUUUUAUUUCUUAUUAUUUUUUUUAUAUUUUAGAAAAUAGUCUGAACAAGAAUUAGAGGCAAACAAGAACCGAAAACACUUGUGAUUGUUAAAAGCUUAUAUUUAUUUUUAUAUUUAUAUUUAUUCACAUAUAUUUAUAUAUUUAUUAUUAUUAUUAUUAUUAUUAUUAUUAUUAUUAUUAUUUCCUUUUUUAAUAAAAGGUAAAAAUCGUACAAAAUUAGGUGUCAACACUAUUCAUACAUGAAAAUUAAAUAUCUAAUAACAAAAAGUCAAAUACUUGAACUUUAUUUAUUUAUUUAUUUAUUUAUUUAUUUUAUUAUUAUUCAUAAAUUCAAAAAUGACAGACUAAUAAAAGUGUUAAAAUCUCUAAAUGAGAUGUCUAGAAAUAAUAAUGCAAAUAUUUUCUUCUCUAAAUUUAAAAAAAAAUUAUCUUUUAUAAUUUGUAUAUCUUUAUUUUCUUUCUAGAAAUAAUAAUGCAAAUAUUUUCUUCUCUAAAUUUAAAAAAAGUAUUAUCUUUUAUAAUUUGUAUAUCUUUAUUUUCUUUCUAUUGUAUCUCGAAUAAAAUUUUCAACACAUAAACUACAAAAUAACAAUUAUUUUUAUAUACUAUAAUCUAAAAUGAAUCUAAUUUUUUUACUAUUUUUAAAUAAAUUUUCAUAAAAAUUAAUUUUCAAAAUAUAAAGUCGAUAUCUCUUUUAUAAGAUUCUAAACAAACGGAACCUAUAUGUAUUACAAUAUAUCAAUAAAAUAUUUGCAGACGAUACUUUAAUUGCAUAAUAAAAUUUAUUUAUUUAUUUUUGAAACAAUUGCAUAAUAAAGUGCUAUUAAAAGGAUAUUGAACAUUUUAUAUAAAAUGUCAUUAUUAUUAUUAUUAUUUUUACUGUGAAAUAAUAUUUUACUAAAAAUAACACAUUAAUGCUAUUUUUUAUUUAAAAGUAUUAAUUUUGUUUUGAUGUAGUAUAUUUAAAAUGUAAGAAAACAAGUAUGACAUUUUAUAUGUAAAUACAUACGAAAACAUUGUUUAGGCAUAUUAUAAGUGACAUGACUCUUUUGUAGAUUUAUAUACUUUUUAUUUUGUUCAUUGUUUUUUUAUAUUUAUAUUAAAAUAUUGAAAUUUUAUGUCAUAAAAAAGAUAUUUAUUUUUACGGGUGAUAAUUAAUUUGUAUUUGACACAUGUCAAUUACACUAGUCAUUUUAUAUGUAAAUAACUACAUAAAAAGUAAUUCGUUUAAUAAAAGUUCAUGAGAUAUUAAUUUUAAAAUAUAUUAAUAAUAUAUAAAAUAAUUUAAGAUUAAUAUAAAAUUUUAUUAAUAUGAUAAUAAUUUUCAAUCUAAUAAUAAAUUUUAUAAUACAAAUAUACAAUAAAAAAUUAUCUAAAAUAUCAUAAUACUAAGUUAUAUAUCGCUACAUUAACCAAACCUACCGCACAUUUGUUGCAAUUUUGAUCAAAAUCACAUGUUUUACUUCAAAAAUGGUAAUUUUUAGCAUAAAAAAUAAUAAUUUUUGGUAUUAAAAAUAUUUUUUUUUCUUUCAAAUUUAUAAGAGGCAAUAAAUCAUACUUUUUUUUAAUACAAAAUCAUCCUUUUGAAAUAAAAAAAAAAAAUUGAUUUUAAAAUAGUGAACUAUUUUUGUGAGUGUUAAAAUAAAAGGACUAAAAAUGUAAUUAAAAAAAAAUGAAAAUUCAUUAUUGUCUAAACUACCAUAUAAACAAAAAGACAAUAAGAUCUCUUAUAAUAAUAAAAAAUAAUAAUAAUAAAUAAAUAAAUAAAUAAAAAAGACAAUUUCAUUUCUCCAACAUAUAAAUGACUAUAAAUAAUUUUUUUUUUUUAUAAAUCGCCCAAUUUUAUUCUUUAUCAUUCAAAGAAAACUAUUAUAUGGCCAUGAUUAUUUAAUUACAUAUAUAUAAAUAAUACUUGGCUAUUCUAAAAAGACCACUAAUACAGAGAAUCCACAAUAUUAACAAAAUUGUGGAUUCAAAGAAAACUAUUAAAAGAAUCCACAAUAUUAACAAAAUAAUCCACAAUACUUAUAAUUCUAAAAGAAUCCAUAUCAGAUCCAAAAAAUGGUACUAACAGUACCAGUGUACGAAAAACAAAAUUCAUGUUAUUUAGUUAUUUACUAUAUACCUUUAUAUUUAUACUCUCACACUCACAUUUUAAUAAAAAUUUAAUUUUAUUAUUAAAAAAAUCAAAUUUUAUAUUUUGUAGUAUACAUAUGUAUUUUGGAAAUUUUAAGCAACAUUUUUUGGUACAUAAAUGUAUUCAAAAAAUAAAAAUAAAAAAAAAAGCUUUUAUAAAAUUUGAGUUUUUUAAAAAAAAAAUUAUUUCAAAAAAUUUUAAAAAAAUAUUCCGGAACACAAUUGUGUAUUGGAAUUUAUUUUUCAAAUCUUUUGGUUGGCUUUUGUUAAAAAAAUGUAAAAUAGAUAGUUUAAAUAAAAUGUAGAAAUAGAAGUAUAAAUAUGGAGUAUGAGGUAUAAUUUCCUAUAAUUAUAUAUCUAUGUAGAUAGUGGCAGCUUGAAUGCUAAGAAAAUCAAUAAAAAAAUUAGCAAUGUAUUGAAAAAUAAAUUAUCAUUAUUUAUUUGUGGUUGAUAUUUGAUAAAUUAUAUUUAACAUUUAUGUUUAUUUAUGCUCUUCGAUCUUUUUUCUUAAAUUAAUAUUAUUAAUUCAUGUUGUCAAAAUUAGUUUUAAUGUAUGGUAUUUUAAUUUUAAUUAUAUAUAAAACUAUUUAUAUACAAUUUUUUCAGUCAAAAAUAACUAUAUAUAAGUAGUUUUAUAGUUAAUUAAAUUAUAUACUUUUGACUAAAUUCAAUUACUAUUAUUUUGACUAAACUCAAUAAUAUAAUACUUAAUAAUACCAAGUCUAAUUAUUUUAUUUUUUUGAAGAGACCAAGUCUCAUUAUUAUAUUUACAUUUUUUUAAGACAAGUGAUUAUAUAUUAACAUUAUUAUCAAAAAGCAUUAACAAACAAUUCAAUGCUACAAAUUAAAAGAUUCAAUAACUAAAAUUAUUCGAAGUUCCCUAUUUAUCUCAAAAGGGAUAAGCUCAAAGACACUAUCAACAAACUCUUUUACUUACACAUUAUUUUAUAACUAAAAAAUAGCUUUAUGUUCAUUGACAUUAAUUUUUUUUUUAUGACAAAAAUUUAUAGUGAGUGAAUGAUACCCCAAUCUGAGCAUUGACAUUAAGUUAUGUUAUUUAAUGAUUAAUAUUUGAUAUUUUUUAUUAAUAUUUUUUAAGUUAAAAAUUUAUUAUAAAGAUAAGAGAAACAAAAAAUUGGGAACAUAAACCUAAUCUAGUCAAGGAAAAAAAAGAAAGAAAAUAAAAUUCUUCAAACUAUGACGGUUUUUUUGACCCUUGUGUUAAAAUUAUUUUUUAUUGACAUUAAAUAAUGUCAUGAGUUUUUAUAUUUAGUUAUUAGUAAUAAUUGAUGUUUGACAAAAUUAACUUUAAUGCACAAUACUUUAAAUAAAAUAAAUUAUUUAUAUUCAAUUAUAUUAAACUUUUUACGAUAAAGUUAUUUUAUUGUUCAAACAAAAAGAUAAAGUAUUAUUAUUAUAUUAAUAUAUUUUUUAACACAAGUGAUUGUGAAUUAACAUUAUUAGAAAAAAGCACUUACAAAAUUAAUUCAAUGCUUCGAUAGGUUUCUAUUGUAAAUUGUCACAGAAAUUGGCAGUUCACUCUAAGACUCUAAUUGUGUUUAUCAUAAUCUAAUUUUUUUUAAGCAGUUAAAUAUAUAUAUAUAUAUAUAUAUAUAUAUAUUAUAUUAAUAAAAAUUCAAAAUACAAGACUUACUUGAAAUUUAAACAUAUAAGAAAAUAGUAUAAAAUGAAUCACAAACCCCUCUGAAAAAGAUUAGGAUGUCGUCACACAACAAAAUUUACAUAACAAAAAGUUCUAUAAUCUAAAUUUUUAUUUAUCAAAAGAAAAAUAAUAAAUGUAUAAAUUUAACAAUUUUUUAAAGAAGGUACGUGUAAUAUCAUUGAUAAUCAAUAAAUCCCCUCUCUAAUUAGUCUUAUCUCUAAAAAUUAAAAUUAAAGUAUUAUAACUUUUUUUUUUUACUAAAAAAGUAUUAUAACCUUAAGAGGCUAUUCAAUACAUUAAAAAAGAUUUAUUUUUCAAAAAUCUAACCGUGAAAUUCAGACACACACUAAAUAUAAAACAAAGUGGAGUGUUGUAAAUUUGAUCUCGCGUCUCAGUAUAUUAAAUGUCUUUAAUAAAUUUUAGGUAUAAUUGUUUAUCCGAUCUUUUAAUUUAAUUUCAUGUUGUAAUACUUUAGUCUUUUAUUUAUUUAUUUAUUUAUUUUGAUUUAGUUAUUUAUUUAAUUUUAAGUAAAUAAUUUGAUCUUUUAUGUUUUAAAAUAUUAACAAUGUUAUCAUUUUUUUACACAGAUUCAUCAAAAUUUUCAAACAAAACUCAUAAAAUUAAUUAUCAUCUUCAAUAUGAUACAUAUUUCAUCAAUUUUAUAACUCAAAUAUUCAAAUACACUCAUAUUUUCAUUCUUUAUAUUUUCGAAUUUUUGUAAUAAAAUUAAAUAAAUGACCAAAUAAAAAAAAUUAAAUAAAUAAAGGACUGAAAUGUUAUCUGAAAUUACAUUACAGGACCGUAUAAGCAAUUCUGCCUAAAUUUUAUUAUCUGAACUACACUUGCUUGACGUUAAAAAUAAGAUGUUUAUUAUUCUAUGAACCAGUGAAAAAUUGUUUCCGUAUAAAGUUCUUUUUCAAAUUUCCAUAUCUAAAUUAUCAAAUAUAAGUAUUUUAUUUAUUUUCUAAUAAUAAUAAUAAUAUUACUUUCAAUUAUUGUUAUGCUUUUUUUAUUUAUUUAUAAAAAACAAACAAUAUUAAUUAUUAAGAAAUAUAAACAAUUGUUUUUAAAACAAAUCAACAAAUUUAAUGCUUGUUGAAAAAAAAAUUGUAGGGAUUAAUUAAAUACAAGAUUGUACUUUAUUAUAUUAUAUUAUGAUAUACUUCUGUCUAAUACUUAUUAUCAUAGUUUAUUUUAAUAAAGGCAAACAACAUCUAAUAUUAACAAAUUUAAUGCGUAUUAAAUAUUCAAAAGGAGUAAUUAAAUAAAAGAUAUAUUCUUCACCAGAAAAUAAGAUAACUUUAAAUAUAUUUUCUAGGUUAUGUAUUGUACUUAUUUUAUUCUAUUAUAUUAGAGAAAAGGAUGAUACGAUGACAAUAUAAAAUAAUUUUACACUUAUAAUUAAUAAUGACCAAUAAUCAUCUUAUCACAUAAUUAUAACUUCCAUCAAUCAAUAAUUAUACAAUCAAUCGCUAAUGUUACAUGACAGUUUAAACAAUGCAUGUCCAUUAAAUCCAUUAUCUUAUGCUUCAUUAAAUAUAUUUUGUUUCUUAAUUUUUAAAUAAAUUUUCAUAAAGCUUUGCCAAUAGGACCCUUACAUGUAAUACUCAAAUUCGUUCAGCCAAACAAUUCCAUAUCCCCAUUACAUAUUCCCCAAUAACUUAAUCCUGAAAGUUUUGAACAUCAAUUCUUUUAAAACAAAAAAAUUUUAGGGCCUAGUUUUUUAUCACCAAAAGUUUUACUAUUAAUGCUACGAUUCAGUAAUACAAAACUUUCAAUAUUAUAAAAUACACCCUUAGGAUAAACUAUAAUGUUAAAAGAUUUAAUACUAGUAUCCAAAUUUCUAUCAAGUAAUGUUGAAAUACAAAUAAACCUCUAUAACCCAAACGCAAUAUAGUAAGUAAUAUACAUCUAUACAUGAUUAUAAUGUUCCAAUUUUCUUUAGUUCGUGAUACACACGAGAAGGAUAGAAAUUUACCCAAUAUAGUAAGUAAUGUAUUAUUCCAAUCGCACAAGUUAUGCUCAUACAAACUCCAAACUCUAUUACAUGAACAAAUUGUUAGAAAACAAUCAGAAAAAUUAUGAUAACGAAUCUUUGAUACACAGAUGAUGACUUGGGCAUAUUAUGCAAUAGAAUGUGCUCCCAUGUCUCCUCUCUAAACUUGGAACCAUCACUUUUGUUUUGAUGCAAUUAGAGCCUAAUGAUUCUUAACUAGAUUUAAACCCCAAAAUAAUCCUGUUACCGAGCUCCAAAGUUAUGCCAACCUAUUGACACAAUUUUCUACAAACAAUUAACACACAGGUAACAAAAGCCAACCAUUAGAUUGUCAAACAAAUUCAAAGCAAAAACAUACAUCCAAAUGGAAACCAUGGUACUAGCUUAAGGUAUUUGUUGACAGAUGAAAUUGAACAUAAUAAGAGGGCAAAAAAAGUAAGGGAGCGAAAUGCAAUAUAAAAAUAACAUGCAUUCGUUAAGACAUGAUCAGGAACAGAAAAUGCAUACGAUAUGGAAUGCAUGCUAAAUUAAAUAAUUACAAUUCUACAUGGAUAAAAAUGGAGGCCACCUAUUUUAGAAAUAUUCAUCAUGGAAACAAUAGUAUAAGACGAACAUGCCUACUCUGAGUUAAAUAGAACAAAUUUCUGUUUUACUAUAUAUCAAGUAGUGUUUUUCUUUCAUUUUGUCUUUGAACUAUGAAGCUCCUUAACAUUAAACAUAAUGUGUAGUGCAUAUGCCUGCAACUUAACAGAAAUGCUUAUCAAAUAUAUUGAUAUGAAAUGGCCAAUGUUUUCCUUAUACCAUUAAUUAAGUUUGUUGUUUUUUCUUUAAUAACCUGCCAAAUGCCAAUUAAUAAAAAAUUGCAGUAUUGCUACCGAACUCUUCGUAAUUUAUUUAUUUUAUACUUUCGGAAAGAAAAAAAUUAAAUGCAAAUACAAAAUCUGAAUAUAUUAUAAUUUAAUUCUAGUUUCCUUGUAUAAACCUCAUUAAGUUAAAAAAAUUCAGAGUAAAGAAAAUAAACUCAAAUGCUGAAUACGGGUGAUAAGGGGCCAUCAUUUCCUACAUUUAAUAUGGCCUUUUCUGAUUUUUUCCUUUUGUAUAUGGAAGGCUUGUAACCUACCCCUCUAUAAAAUUGUGAAUUCAACAAGCACUCAUCCACAACAGAGAAGUGACGAAAUAUUUUUUGAUUUACAGUUUUCUGCAACUAUGGAGAAGAACAAAGGCAGAGACUGUGGGAUUUGUGGUAAGUUUUUCUCCAGUGGGAAAGCCAUCGGAGGCCACAUGAAAUCUCACUUAGUCAUACUGCCGAUUCCUCCAAAGCCUGAAACUAUGAAUCAAGCACUAGACAAUUCAGCCGAUUUAACCCAGCCUCCAAUUCAACCCACUUCCUCACUAACUAGCCUUCCCGAAAAGAAACAAACACAUGAUUUCCGAUCUAUGAAACGCAACUUCUUUACCUUCUCUGCAAACUCAAACAGAGAAAAUGAAUUUGUGUUCAUCCCUAAAAUCCCAACCCGCAAAAGAUCCAAAUACUGCAGCAAACUUAAUGCAGUAGACAAUACAAAAACUCAGCUAGAACAAACAAAAUCAAUACUUGACCCUGUUGCACUAGUAAUUGCUGAGAUUUUGAGUACGAUUAAAAGCAAAGAGAGGAACAAACAAAUCAUAAAUGAAACCAACAAAAUGAAGGCAAAAGACAGUGCAGGCAGUAACGAUGACUCCCUUGUUCAAGCACACUCUCGAGCAAGGUUCAUAUGUGAUAUGUGCGGAAAAAUGUUCGGAUCGUAUCAAGCUCUUGGGGGGCACAAAGCAAACCAUAAGAAAACUAAGAAUCCAUCGCAAGAAGGUGGUUACUCUGAUGAUGAAAAAAGUGACAACAAUGGUGAUUUUACAGAUCAGAAACUUUUUCAGUGCCCAUAUUGCUACAGAGCGUUCAAGUCUGCCAAAGCGGUCGGUGGACACAAGAAGGUACACUUUCCCAAUACUAUGGUUGCUAAUGCUCGUACCAGUGCUAUUGAUUUUCUAGGUGUUCGGUAGAUCUCAAUAUUCAAGCUCCUAGAGAAGAUGAAGUGGAUAGCCACACCGGUAUUGAAUUUUCCAGUCCCCUGUGAUGAUACUUCAGUCUCACAAUGCGAUUGCAGAGAUAAGAAAUUACAGACUUAAUUUGUAUCUCUGUACACAGUUAUGAACUGUGUUCAGAUCUGAACGUUAAGAACUAUAUAUGCUUUCAAUCAUUUUAAGGUUUAACAAUUUGACAUUGUAGGUCUAUAUUUAUAUUUAUGUAAGAGAGAUCUUUGUUUUGAUUAUCAUUUAAGUGUUCUUGCCCGUAGUUUCUAUCUUCUUUGUCUGUUAGUUCAUGUUGCUUAGGGGAACUAUUUCUCCAUAUCUCCGUAACUGUGAAGCAUGAGUACUUUUAAGAUGGUGAAGUACCCGUACCGAGUACUUACCCGGUACCGAUACUCGUACCAUACUCAUGGUUACUCGUUUUUUCUUCAUUAUUCCUGCGCAAGUGAAAUUGGUGAUUUUUUUAUACAUUAAUAUAAUAUUAUUUAUGCAUUUGAGUUUUUUUGUUGUUGUAACCUAACACAAUUUUUGACUUUUUAAACUUUAAUUAUGAUUUUGUACGGUGAAUUGAACAAUUUAGGUCUCUUAGUUAAAUUAUAUAAAAAAAAAGUCAUGAUUUUUAUUGAUGUACCCCAUACUUUAAUUUUACUUAAAAUACUAAUCCUGUACCCAUACUCGUAUCUGGUACCGUACGCGUACCACCUAUGCAUCAUAGCUCUGUAAAGACCAAAAUAAUCAUAUUUACUUUUGUUUGCGCAUGUAUGGUUUUAGAUCAAACUUCACCAGCUCCUGCUUUGUAUUUUUGAAUGCUGGUGAAAAUGUAGAAAGCUUAGGAUGACAGGCUUCUCUAAUGGGACAUUAGAAAUCUCUAAUUGCCACAAGGCCUGUAUUUAUGAAAUAUGACUCCCCAAACUAUGGCUUAAAGUUAAACUAGUGGACUCACAACCGUAUGAUUAGGCUCAAGUGGUUAAUGAGUUUCAAUUAAGGACGAAUACAUCAUGAGUACCCAAGUUCAAACCUUGACUGAAACAACUUUACUAACCUUUCGGUCGAACUCUAGAUUACUAGGACCCCUUUCCCUUGGAAAAUAGAGAGUUACGACAAAAAGCAAAUGGACUCCCAUGUAUUAUACAAAGGAGUAACACACAUAUCACACAUAAAAUGCUGAACAACAAUUGUAAACAAAGUUUCUUUGUUAUUAUAUACUCGUAGAAGCUUUGACAUAAUUACAAGUAUUGUCAAUGUCCUUAUUACUUAGAUACAAAAACAUUUCAAAUUUCUUUGAAUCUAGGAAGAUAACUUUUGUUUAAACUUUGAGUUGAACCAUAGGAAAGGUUCAGUGCCAAACUGCUAGGCAGAUGCUCUGAUAUGGUUUUCUAGGAGAGAAAUUAAGAUUUGAUGAAUUAUUCCUUUUUCAAAAUUUGAAAGCUUCUGUGAGUUCAUCUGAUAGCUUGCAAAGAGGCUCGGUGUAAGAGAAAUAGCUCAGAAAUCAUGAUCCGACAAAAGCAGUAUCAGAUCUAUCCCCAAUAGUUUAGAUAUGCCAAUAUGAUUCCAAAAAUAACAAAACAGAGAUACCGGAUUAUGCAAAAGUGUGGCGCCCUCUAAUGGGCCCCAGGUGAAUGAAAAAAACGAAGCAGACAAAACUGUACAGAUGGCAACUAUUUCAAAUAAUAAAACGAGGAAAAAAGCAAAACCCAAGCAGUUGAGAAGGCGGCUGAAUGGAGUCAUAUAGGAACUGCAGAUGUAUAUGUUGCAUGUGUGCGCGCGUGUGUGCGUGUGCAUGUGCGCGUUACACUAAUUUAUAGAUUCUUAAACAUAAUACCUAAAUUGAUGAAUAUAGAUAGAUACUAGUCAGUGUUGUCAGUAGCAUAUCACGGAAAAUAACGGUUUGUUCAAAUUCUACUACACAACAAUGCUAUAUAUAGCACCGCUAUUUGACAACGUUUUGUACUAAAUAGCAUAUUGCUGAAAAAUAGUUAUUUGUUCAAAUUCCACCACGCCAUAGCGCUGCUAUAGCCAUGAUUUAAAACUACUAAUACUAGUAACAUAUGGCAUAUGGACAGAACGGAAUGGAACUUCAUAUUUUGCUCUGUUCUCUUUGGUUCCAUCAUUUUUUAGUGAAAUCAAAAUUCGUUACUUCUUUUACUUUUUGUCGAAUUUACUCUGUUAUGUUCUAAAUUAUUUAUGAAAUGCGACCUAAGGUUACAUUGUAGUUGCUCUAAUUACUAUAGUUUAACUGAUACUGAUACUAUACCACGUACAAUUAUCCUAUUUACUUACUACACUCCCUGCCUUUCUGUUGCGGGAAAAUAAAAAUAUAAUACGGAAGGCCCUAGAGGACCGAGAUGCAGGACGCCAAUUGAUGAUGAAAAAAAUGGAUUUCUCCAUGAUGUGUCAUCUAUCAAUCUCUGCUCAUGCCUAACGCAACUUUUAUUAGUUAGAGUUUUAUUCUUUGAUUAAAGAAGGAAUGAGAUAGAGAGGGAUUUUUCAGAUUAAGUUAGAGUUUCAAUUUUUAACAAAAAAGUAAAUGGGGAGAGAAGGAAUUAUGAGAUUUUAUUUUUAUUUUUAGGAGAAACAACGCCUUACGUAGAGAAGAUGAGUAAAAGCUUGCCACAUGUGAAUCCUAAAUGAUGUGACAUUCGCCACAUGCGCAUCUCUGCGAAGACUGAUGGAGUCAUCUUUUAGGAAUCACUUGAGUGAUUUCUGUCUUCUGAGGACAAAUUCAACCAAUCCCUUAUCUUUCAAGGACCAAAAUGAUUAUUAAUAUUAUUCUAUAACAUUGUUGCACUAUUAUGUACGUAUAUUAGUGGAUUAGAUUAGUCAAGCAUGAAAAAUUAGAAACAAAAUGUUUCUUAAAAAUAUACUUCCUUAAAAGCAAGUAUAGUUCCAUUCCAUUGCACGGUUUAUUAGAAAGUGGUAGAAACAGCAUGCCAUCUUUCACACAACCCGACUAUAAAAAAAUCAUUUGACCUGAUUCAAUUACUUGUGAGAAAGAUGGUUGAUCUCUACAUAUAUAGUAUUAGAAAAUAAGAAUGAUCGAGUUACUCGCAACUUACAAGAUGGGACUCCACAUACAUGAAGGGAGGCACAAGCAAGCAUCUGAUGGUAGCACUUUGUGAUGAAUCUGAAAUACACACCUAUCUUAGAAGUUUAGAACUAAACAAAAUUGACAGAUGCAAGUACAAGGAAAGACCAUAGAAGUGCGAACAACAGAAAACAGCUAAUCUAAAGGAACUCGGUCACAAUCACAGACACCGAAUUCCUUUCCUCUGAAAGAUAUUUGGUUCAUGAUGUUGUGUGAAGGACACCCCAAAAUCCCAGAUACAAAAACAUAAUUGACAAAAUUCACAACAUCACAUCACAUGGAAUUGAAACAGUAUUGUUAGACAGCUGGAAGCGGUGGAUGAUGAAGAUAGCACAUAGGCUCAAGCCCCCUUACAUCAUCUGAAAUAUUAAGUCUUUUAAAUAGUUGUUAAUCAUGGAUUUUCAAAGACUCACAUUUCAUAUUUUUCAUUUUCAAUAUGGUGCUCCUAAGUCCUAAUAUAUAAUUUAUUUAAGAUAAUGACAUCUAAACUUGACUUUGGCAACUGAGAAGAAAGUAUCGUGCAUCGAGUCAAUGAGGAAUCAAUUGUUUGUAUUACAUACAUAUGUGAUAUAUAUGAUAAAUUAUGGAUUUUCUUGUGUUUGACUUUUUUCUUCCUAAACUAAAAAAAUGGUUUUCUAAUUCUAUUGAAUAGUGACGAUAAUAAUAAUGAAUCAGCCCACCAGCAUUUAGCUAGAUGAUGCAAGUUGCCUGUUGAGCCCAUCAGCAUUUAGCUAGAUGAUGCACUACCAAUAAUGAAUAACUGAUGAUGUGCUACUGGCUAAUGAUGUUAUCAUUUGGAGGUAAACUCAAUUCAAAAUAAAUACUAUACUGAGAAAUUUUCCAAUUUUCUUUGUAUAGCUAGAACGACAAUCCAAAGUACUAGUAUAAAUUAUGAUUUUGGAUCCAAGACAACGAAAAUUUAUUGUGCUGCCCUUUCUAAUCUUUAAUAUUUACUCCCAUUGGUUUAGGACAUUUUGCAUCUAGAAAAGUGUAACGCAUAGUCUUAAUCACAGAUGAUAUAGACCUGGAAAACUACUGAUUCAACCAGUCAUGAACCCAGUCCAUUCAACAACAAAAUUUGGCUAAUCUUAGAUCCAUCAAGAAUUAGAGAACCGAUCAAACCAGUCCAAAACUAGUGAGAAAGAACCACUUUGAAUUGGUUAGUUUCUAUCUUUUAUUGACUUUAAUAAACAAUAAAUAACCAAAUGAAGGUGCAAGGAGUCAAGGACCUAUAUAGAAUGAUUAUUAUUUAAUUUUAUUUUACAAGACAUAUGAUAUUAUCAUUUUAUGCUGCUUAAUGUUUUCACUUAGCUAUAUUUCUUGACAUUUUCUGUAAGUUAACUGCUUAACAUAUAUAAUAUCAAAAACAUUUACUUAAUCAUCAGUAAUUCGACCAGCGAUGAACCACUGAACCAUGAACCAAAUAUUUGUUACUUUUCACUAAUUCAAUGACAACCUGGUUUCAAAACAUUAGUCUGAAUUUAGAAAAAUAAAAUAAAUAAAUUGUUAUUACACUUUUGGUCCUUCAAUCUUGAUUCUUUAAUAUCUUCUGUUAAAAUUUAAUCCACACAUACUUUAAAUGGCUAAAUGUUAUAGUCAAAUCUUCCUGUCAAUUUCCCUUCAUCCAAAGUUCUCCAAUUUUUUGUUUAUUCUCAAAAUCUCAACAAUUUAAAUAUAGUAAAUCAUUUAAAACCUUUUUCCACUCAAAAUACAUAAAUUCAAACAUAUUUCAUCAAAACUUUGAAAAGUCCCAUGUUCCUCAUCUUUGAAACCCUAACACCACUUCUCACAAUAUCCUUUAAAUCUCAUAAAUUUUCCACCAAAUGUUUUACUUUUAAAUCAUUUCUAACCCUGAUUCUUUUAGAAUCCCUAAUUAUUUGAAUUGAAAAUGAGAAUAAUGUUUCUUAAGGUAAAGAGAUAAAAAUGAAAUGAUUAAAUUGUAAUAAAGAAUUAAAAUACUGCGGUUGUUUUUGGAACCUAGAGACAGUUGUUUGCCAUACACCAAGGUGUUGACUUUCUAGGAGAUACAACUUAGUGAUACUAUAUUUAUUUAUUUGAAAAGGCAAAAGAAAUUUUAUUGAUAUAAUGUGAUUCUUGGAAGCACAGGGAGUGCCACACAAGAAUAUAACAACAUUCAUAAAGAACAUCAACACAGCAAAUGUCAUCACCCAAUACUACACCAAUUCUACAAGACAAAGCUAAUAUACAUUGCACUUAAGCAUGAAGAGACAAAAUUUUGACACUUCUCCCAAGAUAAUUCUGACAUUUUCAAUUAUUACAAAUUUAAAAUUAAUUUUAUUACAUUUAAGAUAAAAGUAUCGUAACAUAAAUCAUGUUAGUACACACCCAUUUUAUUUUUAUGAAAUCAACUUGAUUCAAAAAUAAGUUUGCAAACUCCAACUCAAGCACUCCCUUAAUGAUAAAUGCAAUAAGAUGAGAUAAAAAAAUGUGUUGUGAAAUAGCGGCGCUGUAUCGCUAUAGCAUACCGGAUUUUGAUGAAUCCGCUAUGAAAACCGCAAUGCUAUCCUAGUUUCACUAUUAGGAGAAUAGCGGCUGCUCUUCCAAUUUUUGGUAGCCAAAUUAGCGGUAUUAGCGGAGAAAAGAGAACUUUAGGGCCUUUUAAAAUAAUAAUACUGAAGAUUUUGCAUAAGUGCCAAACAUGGCCUAUUUUUAUAAUAGAAAAACUAAAGAGUUAGUGAGUAUUACUCCAAUAUUCACCGAUAUAUGUAUACCUUUCAAUAUAUAAGCUAUGCUAUGGCUCAUUCGCUCUUUUUAUUUACACGCAACAUGUCUUUUUUAUAUAUAAUUUACUUAUAUCAACCUCUAUGCGGCCUCUGCUAUUUGACUGCAACGCUAUCCGCUAUUUCACAUAGCGGAUUUUUGGUGUUUCGCUAUUUUCCACAAUCCGCUAUUGAUAAUACUAUAUAGAAUUAUUAUUUUAUAAUGGAAUGAAAGAAAAAUCUUGUUUUAUUAUACAGGAAGUUAACAAAGUUGUACUAUAACUUUGUUAUAUCUAUUAUUCUAUAUUCUAAAGAAACUAAAUUUUAAUUAUUUGGAAUUAUCUGUGGCAUCAGUUAAUGUUUCAAUUAAUAACUUUAAGAAAAUGUAUAAAUUCUUUUAAUUUGAAAGCUAUUUUCUUUUCAAAUAAUUUUUUUCUGGUGUAGGUGGAGUAGGGUAAUUACUAAUUUAGUUAUUUGUGUUGUUGUAAGGAUAAUUGUGGUAUUUUAUUUUUAAGAUCUUGUAUUGUAUUAUAGAAUUGUGUUUUAUGUUAUGAAUCACCUCCAAAUUUUUAGAUAAUAUACUUAAUGCUAUUUAUUAGGACUUGACUAAGGGCUGCCCUUGUUGCUAUAGAUAAAUACCGAUAGACAGUGUAGCAGCAUCCAUUACUAUCCACUCAAAGUCAUCUAAGAUUCUAAGUCACCCCGAACCCACAUUACGAAUUGUUUGUAAUCACUGGAGGAAAGAAUGGGAUCCUUUGGUUUACCAUCUCAUGAUGAUUUCAAUAAUUGUAAUUACUCAUAUACACUGUCAUACAAAGGUGUGCAUUGACAUUAUCAACUAAAUAGUACUUUUGGCAUUUGCAUUUUUUUACAUGGGCACCUCAACUUUCCUAUUCAUUUAUUACACUGAUCUUGCCAUAAAUUCGAUAACCCCGCCAUAAAUUCAUUUGUAACUCUUUCGAUAUCAUGAUUCACCCUUUUACCCAUCCAUUUAUGAAGCUCGGUAACUUGCAUUUUAUUUCAAAUUAACACAUAAGUUAGAACCUGUCAAUUAGCAACCAAGCAAGCAAGAAGAAAUCCAGAAUAAAUAAAAAUAUCAUCCUUCUUCUACCCUAGGGUUUCUCACCUAGAAUAAUACAUAUAGGCAGCAUAUAUACAUCUGGCUACUUUAAGCCAGUGUUGUCAGUCGCAAAUUGUGGGAACUAGCGUUUUGUUCAAAUUCUGCUAUCCUAUAAUGGUACCAUAGUCGUUAUUUGCCAACACUUCGUACUAAAUAGCAUAUCGCAAAGCAAUAGCGGUUUAAUUAAAUUCCACUAUACUAUAGUGCCGCUAUUUGACAACACUGCUUUAGGCAAUCAGAGCGAUAGUUAUUACGACAAGAGUCAAGCAAAUACUUACCUUUUGCAAAGUCUGGACAUACUUUGAUAUGCAAACCUCAGUCGCAAAAUUUUGAUCUGCAAUUAAUUGUGAUGCAUAGUAGAAGUCAAAAUUAAUUCAACUUUAUAUAGUACAUGCAAAAUAUUCACAUUAUUAGAAUACAUAGAGAAAUCUAGUUAAAUGGUAAUUUUCAUAGGCAUAAACAUAGUUGUAAAGCAUAUUUAGCAAGGUUUUAUAAAAAGGAACACGUCUGAGAAAACAGCUGCGACAAAACGGUAUCGGUACCCUCACCUUUCGCUAGUGAAGAAAAAUCACGGAAAACGGCUGCAACAAAACAUCGUUACGGGCGCAACGACCAUGACGAAACCUGUUCAGAAAAAAUAUAUCCGAGAAUCCCAUUUUUCCAUUCCAAAAGGAUAAAAUUAUUUUUUCAGAAUAAAUUUGAACAGUACCUUACUUCCUUCUCUGGUUCUAUUCAACAUUCUAUAAUCUCUCAACUAGUAUUAUACAUUAUAUACUUUGAAUAAGCUUUGUGCAAUUGGUGAUUAAUUCCCAACGCAACAUCGGCAAGUAACAGCCGGAAUCGCGAAAUCCUCAACACAACCACAACCGCUAAUUAAAACCUUGAAAUUUAGUAUAAAUUUAAAAACAAAAAGCGAAUCAAUGAAUGUUUCAGCAUUGGAUCUCUAACUAGUCUAAUUUCUUGUCUGUCAGAAACCAAGAAAAUAAAAUCCAAACAAUAAAAAUUCAGUCCAGUGUUUUUGAAACCUAUGUUAAGAAGUUUGAGUGAAAUAAGGGACAUGAAUUUUAAGAAAAAAACAAAUUAACAUGAUGAGAAAAACGAACAAAUUGAAGAGUUAAAGCAUUUGAAUAGUAAGUUUACAUAGCACACUAACUUUAAGUAUUUAUAUCUCUAUGUUGUUAAUUGCGCAUCUCGCGGUGCGGAGUGGAGUGAAGUGAAGCACUGCUGCGUUGGUUUGAGCAGGGGCGUCUAUUCCGGCCGCAAAUCUCCGGCUCUGUUUUCCGGGAAGUUGUUACCCCACUCCGACGUGUUUCUGAUUGAUAAUGAUGUUACACGGGUAAGAGGGGCAGCGUCUGUUUUUUUGAGAGUUAGCUUUUGGACCCCCAAUUUAAACUUGUACCUCCCAAUUUGUUAAAAAUUAAGUUUUAUCCUUAAUAAAUUCAUUCACGUGAGCGGUAAAAAAAUUUACUCUAAAAUCUGAGUCCUCGUUGAAAUUUCCGGUAAGUAAUUUUUUUCAACUAAAUUUCCGGUAGUUAUAGUUAUUACCGGAAAUUUGGUCAAUGAAAUUUCCGGUAGUUGUAUUUUCAAUACCGGAAAUUUUAAAUUUCCGGAAGCUACCGGAAAUUUCAAAAAUUUUGAAAAAUCCGGUAAUUAGUAUUUGUUCACCGGAAAUUUCAUUUUUUGAAAUUUCUGGUAGUUAAUCCGGAAAUUUCAAAAAUCCGGUAGUUAUUUUUUUUUAUUUUUUUUUUUGAAUAUUUUUUGAACUUGUUUGUUAUUUUAUUUUAAUUUUUUUUUUGAAAUAGGGAUGGAAAACACAAAACCAGUAUUUAUAGAUUUAACUAAAGCAUUUACAACUGAUCAAAUUUUUGAGUCACGAGAAGCUGUCAUAUCAUGGGCAAGAGAGAUAGGUCGACAAAAUCGAGUAGCAGUUAUCAUUACUCAAUCAAACGUAGAGACUGGAAAGAGAGGAAGAAAGUCAAAAUUAAUUCUUGGUUGUGAUAGAGGUGGACAAUAUAAGUCAAAUAAAAAUGACACAGGUACUUCAACUAAAAGGUGUGGAUGUCCGUUUAAACUUAGAUCGAGACCACUGAAAAAUGAUGAAGGAUGGAUUAUUAGUUUAAUCUGUGGACUUCACAACCAUGAGUUAGUAGCUACUUUUGACGAGUUGACAAAAUAUCACGUUGCACCGAGACACAUCUUGUCAUAUUUGAGAGAUCGAGAUACGGAGAAUGUGACUAGUAUCUAUCAAAUUUACAAGCGACGGAGUACAUACAUGAAGAAUUUGAUGGGACCUAGAACUGAUAUGCAUCAUUUGUUGAAGUUACUUGAAGGUGAGAAAUAUACUUGUUGGAGUAGGACUCAUGAGGACUCCAACGUUGUGAGGGAUAUGUUUUGGACGCACACAGAUUCCAUAACUUUGCUUAACAUGUUCCCUCUUGUAUUGAUCAUGGAUAGCACCUACAAAACCAACAAGUAUAGGUUACCGUUGUUUGAAAUUGUUGGUGUAACUUCAAGUGGGUUGACAUUUAAUGUUGCAUUUGCUUAUAUGGAUUCUGAACGUCAAGACAACUUUUGGUGGGCAUUGGAGAAGUUAAAAGAGUUGUUUUUUUCAAACACGCCAUUUCCUCAGGUGAUUGUGACUGACAGAGAACUGGCUUUAAUGAAUGCAAUUAAAGUUGUAUUUCCAUCUUCAACAAAUUUACUUUGCCAACUUCAUAUUAACAAAAAUGUUGGAGCCAAAUGCAAACAGUAUAUAUUAAAGAAAGACAUGCAAGAACCCAUUCUUGAGUUGUGGAGGAAAAUUGUUUAUUGUUCUGAAGAGAAGGAGUACGAGGAACUUUUGCAAGUAUUUGAGCAAGCAUGUGUCGAUAAUAUUAUUUUCUUUGAAUACGUCAGAGACACAUGGUUGAAUCCUCAUAAGGAAAGAUUUGUUGAAGCAUGGACCAAUCGAGUAUUGCAUCUAGGAAAUACUACGACUAAUAGGUAUGUCAUUAAAAUUUCACAUUUUGUAUUUUAUUUUAUGCAUGAUAUAUAAUUAAAACUUCACAUUUUGUAUUUUUUUGUUUAAAUAUUAGGGUUGAGUCUGGUCAUUGGUCAUUGAAGAGAUUUUUGGAACACAGUAAAGGAGAUUUUUGUAAGGCAUGGAAUGGUAUGAAUGACAUGUUGAAGUUUCAAAUUAUUAAGAUCAAAGGUUCAUUUGAGAUAAGUAAAGGUCGCAAAGAGCAUAUACACAACAAUCCAUUCUUUGAGAAAUUGACUUGGGUGGUAUCCAAGAAAGCCUUAGGUGAUAUUGUUGAAGAAUACAAGAGAGUCAGUUAUGUCGGUAACGAUAAAGAUGUGUGUUGUUGUAUACUUAGAAAGACUCAUGGAUUACCUUGUGUAUGUGAGUUAGCACGAUACAAGAUGAAAUGUGUUCCAAUCCCAUUAGAUGUUGUUCAUAUACAUUGGAGGAAAUUAACCUUGAAUAGUGAUCAAGAGAAUGAACAGUUGACAAAUGAUUCAGAGUUGGACAUUACAUCGGAGAUGGAUAUAAUUUGGAAAACGUGGAAAACACUUAAUGUUCCUGGAAGAAGGGCAUUAAAGAGCAAGUUGCGUGAAAUAGCAUAUUCGGAGACAACAUCAAUGUGUGCACCAGUGGAUAAAAUCAAAACAAAAGGUGGUGUUAAGAAAAAAGGCAAUAAGCCGAAGGGAUAUGACGUAUAUCGCGACCCAUCAUACUUUGAGCAUGUUGAUACUCAAGUCUCCCAACAAGCAUCCAAACAAGUCUCCCAUCAAGCAUCCAAACAAGUCUCCCACCAGGUUAAAAAAUAUUUCCACGAGUUUCCUUCUUUAAUUCAUCCAUAUAUUGAAGACAUAGUUAAUGUUAAAGCAGAUGGAAACUGUGGAUAUCGUGCUAUUGCUGCUUUACUUGGUUAUGGUGAAGAAUACUGGAGCAUUAUACGUCGGCAGUUGUAUACAGAGAUUAAGUCCAAACCUGAUUUAUAUGCUGCAUUAUUCAAGGAACGUUUGCAAGAAGUGACAGAGUCUUUACUUGUAACUGAGUUGGAAAACCAAGCUAACGAGAAGUGGAUGACCAUUCCUGAUAUGGGUUACGUGAUAGCAACAAAAUAUAAUCUCGUUCUUGUUACAUUAGCAAAAACUUUUUGUUUGACUUUUUUCCCAUUGAGGGGUGCACAUAAUGGAGAUUUGUCACGUGAUCGUGUUAUCAGCAUUGGUUUUGUUAACGAAAAUCAUUGGGUUCAAGUUAAAUUGAAAUCUGCAUGUCCGUUACCACCACUUGCAUGGCAUUGGAAGAAGCAUCGUAGCGAUGAGUCUACAUCAUGGGCUAUCGCUUAUGCAGGACGUCUACAACAUUGGGGUUCUUUAGAUUUAGAAAAUAAUUCAGAUUAUAUGUCUUUGGUAGAUGAUUGACACUUUUGAGUUGUAUGUUGUUUUAAAUGAUAUGAUUGACACUUUAAAUGUUGUUUGAAAUUUAGAUGCUUGCCACUUUUAAUUUGUAUGUUCAUUUAAAUGAUAGGAUUGCCACUUUAAAUGUUGUUUGGAAUUUAGUCGCUAAUAAUAACUCAGAAUAAUAAAUAAGUCGUUAAUAAUAACUCUGAAUAAUAAAUAAGUCGCUAAUAAUAACUCUGAAUAAUAAAUAAGUCGCUAAUAAUAACUCUGAAUAAUAAAUAAGUCGCUAAUUAAUUAAGUCUGAAUAAUAAAUAAGUCGCUAAUUAAUUAAGUCUGAAUAAUAAAUAAGUUACUAAUAAUAACUCAGAAUAAUAAAUAAGUCACUAAUUAAUUAAGUCUGAAUAAUAAAUAAGUCGCUAAUAAUAACUCAGAAUAAUAAAUAAAUCGCUAAUAAUAACUCUGAAUAAUAAAUAAGUCGCUAAUAAUAACUUUGAAUAAUAAAUAAGUCGCUAAUAAUAACUCUGAAUAAUAAAUAACUAACUAAAUAAGUCUGAAUAAGUCGCUAAUACAAUAAGUCUGAAUAACAAAUAACUCGCGAAUAAUAAAUUAAGUCUGAAUAAUACAACUAUAAUACUACUGAUAAUCUCCUUCUCUAGAAAUGUAUAAAGCUCUCUCUAAUAAGACACACAUCUGAUCUUCAGGACCACCCAUAUUGCAAAUCUAAACUCUGCUGUAUAAGACCACCAACUGCGUGACAUCGUGUACACCUAGUAUCGGGACCAGCAUCAUGACUAUGACCAGCAUUAGGACCAGGACCAGGACCAACAUCAGCAUCAUAACUAGGACCAACAUAUGCAGCAACAUAAGGGAUCAUCCGAGGAUGAGAUAUCCUAUAAUACCACUGGAUGUAUCCCUCAACACACUCAUAGGGAUAUGCAGCUGGAUGCAAUCUAGCUCGAAGUGAUCGUACAGAAUUCCGGUACAUACUCCAUUCAACGUUGACAUCACGUGCAACAAGCAUCGGUGGUGUAGGAGGAAUGUGUUGAGUAUACUCAAACUGUCGUAUGCACCUCUCGGGUAAAUACGGAACCAUCGUGAAACACCAACGAAUGUAUCUUGUAAAUAAUGACACAGACUGAAAUCGUGUCACAUCGUUUUCAUCGUAAUUCGGUGCCCAGAUAAUAUUUGUAUCCCUCAAAGUAUCCAACUUUGCCCUGUAAUAUGCAACAUUCCCAGAUGUUUGUUUUGCAGUCCAACGAAACAUCCGUGGCAUCGAGGAAAUAUGUUCAUCCAUAUCCCGUUUACAAAUAUCAGAAAAAUGUUCAUAAAUAAGUCUGUAAAUAAUUGAAAUGUAGUAAAAUUAUUAAGGUGAUGAAAUAAUUAAAAAAAAUAUAGAUAAGUAUAAUAAAUAUAAUAAAUAUAAUAAAUAUAAUAAAUAUAAUAGUACCUGAAAUAAAGAUAAAUAUCCUCCAAUCUGUUUGGUUGUAGGCAAUGUACUAUCUCUAAGAUAGUCAUAUAACACAACAAGUGCAGCCGGUCCCCAUGCCCAUUUACCACAACUAUCAAGAUCUUGAAACAGAAAGAGAUAUUUUGCAGAUACAAGUGUAAAACUUUUAUCCGCAAGAAUGGUACAUCCUACCAAAUGAAGUAGAUAUGCCCUAGCUGCACAGUCAUAUCUUCGUUCAUGAAGUUUCUUANNNNNNNNNNNNNNNNNNNNNNNNNNNNNNNNNNNNNNNNNNNNNNNNNNNNNNNNNNNNNNNNNNNNNNNNNNNNNNNNNNNNNNNNNNNNNNNNNNNNNNNNNNNNNNNNNNNNNNNNNNNNNNNNNNNNNNNNNNNNNNNNNNNNNNNNNNNNNNNNNNNNNNNNNNNNNNNNNNNNNNNNNNNNNNNNNNNNNNNNNNNNNNNNNNNNNNNNNNNNNNNNNNNNNNNNNNNNNNNNNNNNNNNNNNNNNNNNNNNNNNNNNNNNNNNNNNNNNNNNNNNNNNNNNNNNNNNNNNNNNNNNNNNNNNNNNNNNNNNNNNNNNNNNNNNNNNNNNNNNNNNNNNNNNNNNNNNNNNNNNNNNNNNNNNNNNNNNNNNNNNNNNNNNNNNNNNNNNNNNNNNNNNNNNNNNNNNNNNNNNNNNNNNNNNNNNNNNNNNNNNNNNNNNNNNNNNNNNNNNNNNNNNNNNNNNNNNNNNNNNNNNNNNNNNNNNNNNNNNNNUCUCUCAGCAAAAGCAGAUAUCAUAUUACCGUCAAUCAUAUGCAAAAUACAUCUUUUUAGAGGACGUAAUCCAGAUAUAUUAAUCCAAUGAUCUAUUUGAGCAGGUAAAUGAUAUCUAAUAUCAAUGAAUUUGUCUUGCUUUUUGCCAUUCGAAACAACUUUCAAGGCACGUCUAUCCUGUUUAAUUAAAAAUAACACUAUUACAAAUAUAUUAUAAUCUUAUACUACAAAUAAAUUAUAAUGUGUAAUAAAAUAACCUAUACUACAAAUAUAUUAUAAUAUGUAAUAAAAUAAAUUAUUUACUAACCUGUCCAUUCCACACAUUAAUUGCAAUAUGAUGCUCAUAAUCUUCAAGGACAGAAAGAUCAUAAGGACCUCCAGGAAACAUGGGUUCUUCAGGCUGGUGUUGCUGACCAUGUUCAUCAUCAAACUGUUGCUGCUGCUGAUCAUGUUCAUCAUCAAACACAUGAUCCUGCUGGGGCUGCUCAUCCUGGGGCUGGUUAUCGUGUUCUGCAUCAAACAUAAGAUUUUGCUGGGGCUGCUCAUCCUGGGGCGCAUGCCUUUCCUCAUUUCUCCUUCUCCUUUUUUCAACAGCAGCUCUUCUAUUUGAUUGUGUAGGAGGCCGAACUCGCAAAUGAUCACCACCGUCAGAUUUUCCUCCUCUGGUCUUCACUAACAAAAUUCAAUAAAAAAAUUAAAAAAAAUUAAAAAUUUACACAGUGUACCGGAAAUUUGAAAAAUCCGGUAGUUCAAAAUGCAUACCGGAAAUUUCAAAAAUGAAAUUUCCGGGAAUGCAUCCGGAAAUUUCAAAUUUCCGGUAUUGAUUUUGAACUACCGGAUUUUUCAAAUUUCCGGUUUGCCUUCCUGGAAAUUUCAAAAAUGAAAUUUCCGGUAUGCAUUUUGAGCUACCGGAAAUUUCAAUCCUCUUGAAAUUUCCGGUAAAAUUUUUUUUUCCGGAUUUUUCAAGUGUGGGGUAAACUGUUUUCAUUUUUUUUUCUUAUUUUGACUUUUACUGUUUUUUUUAGGGUUAUUUUGGGUAUUUCACUCAAAAAAACAUUAAGUUAUCAUUUUUUUUUCUUAUUUUGACUUUUACUGAUUUUUUUAAGGUUAUUUUGGGUAUUUCACUCAAAAAACAUUAAGUUAGGGGGUAUAAGUUUAAAUGGGGGGAGGUACAAAAGCUAACUCUCCUGUUUUUUUCUUUAUGGGCCUCGUUAAACUGAAGUGGAAUGGGCUUCAAAUUAGAAUUUUAUCUUAUUACCACUUGUAGUACAUGUAAUAAUAUAAAGUUUUAAAUUAAGUUUUUUCUUUCAUAUUUUCGAAAGUUUCCUUCAAAUUAUAUUAUAAUACACGCACCUCUACAUCUUAACUUCCCACUUCCAUUUUAAAUUAACAUUUUAAAAGUUUCGUAUUGAUUAAAAAUUUUGAAAAUCGGGAGAAAAAAAAACUUAAUUUGAAACUUUUUUGUUCUAAAGGUUCAAAAAUAAUUGUUUUGAAAUUUAAAAAAAUUAUUUACUUUUUAUAUUUUGUAAAUUUUUAAACUUUCGAAUGGUGGAGUUAUUCAUGUAAAGUUUCAAAAUAGGGGGUGAAAAAAUAAAUGCUAAAAUGUUUUGAAGAUUUUAUAGAUAGUAAAAAGAGCAAAAAUAUAAUUUUAAGUAAGAUAGAGGUGAGAGGUUAAAGUAUGGAGUGCAUGGUAAAAACCUCAAGGAUUUAUUAUUUAGAAAAAUAAUAUAAAGGACUUUCAGUCAAAAAAGAAGUAAUAAUAUAAUAGACUAUACAUUUGUACAUCAAUAUUUUUAAUACUAGCAAAUCAAUUUCACUUAUAGUUGAAUGAAGUAAUUUAUUAAAAUUAGUUUGGGGUUAGAAUAUAGAUUAACACUAUCAAAUUUUUAAGUUUUAUAUUUUAAAUAUUUUUUGAUUUGUUGUGAUUUUUAAUUUAUUUUUUUGAUUAAGAAAAUAAUUUAUAUAUUUUAGGAUUAAAUUGUAUAAAAAAAUGUAUAAGUAUUAUUGGUUCAAUCAACCUUUUAAUAUGCAAUAUAUAAAUAGUGAAAUAAAUGAAUUAUUGAGAACCUAAUUUAACUAUUGAUUCAAAUUUUGAUAAUAUAAGUACACUUUUUUUUAGAGUACUUAGAAAUUGUUCUAAGACUAAAGAAUUUUGUUUUAGUCUGCGUAAAAAAGGUUUACAUUCUAUCUUACUCAUUUUAAAUUUUUAUUUUUGGUCUUUGAUGUUAUCUGGCUAUACAAAAUCACUUAGGUGACAAUUAUGGUCAACAAUUUUAAUUGAUGAGACAUCUUAAUCAACAUAAUUUAUUAAAAUAAAUAAAUAUAAAUAAAGAUUAAAGAACUUGCAAAUUAUAUGUAAACGUAAAAAAUAGAAACAUUGUUAUUCAUCAUCCAUAAAACAAAAAUCGCUAUUUUUAUUGAAAAACAAUUUAACGAAUUGUUAGAAAUAACAUAAUCCCAAAACAAGUGAACAUAAAUUCAGCAUUGUUGAAACUUCGCUUGAAUGUGGUAACCUCCACAGUAAGUGUGGUGAAAUCGGUUCGAUUAUCAACUUAGUUAUCGAUUAUGUCACUGGUUUGCUCAACAGAAGUUUAAAUACAAUGCGAUGUAAAUCUCUUGAGGCAUCAAAAAAGGUAACCCUUUUAUUCCUUCGAUGAAAUUAACACUACUUGGAGAAGUGGAGGGGUGAAGUUUAGAGAGGUUCAUUCAAUUGAGAAACAAUUCAAAACCAGUUGUUGUUUGUGUUGGAAUUGGAUCAACGAAUAUUUUUCAUAAAAAUUUCUCGAUGACUUAACUAUACUUUUGUUUCAUGUUUAAUUUUAAUCUUCGUAAUUUUGUAUUUAUACUUUUGUAAAUUUAAAUAAAAAAUCCUUAAUGACUUUUAUCUUUUUUAAAUAUUAAAGUGGAUAAUUUUUGUUGACGUGACAUGUACCGACUAUAUCAUUAGUGUUGAUUGGGCAUUUUAAUAUUUUAAAUUAAAAAUAAUUUUAUUAAAAGUCCAACUAAUAAUUAAAUUAAAUAUUAAAAAUAUUCAUCAAUCUUCAUUUUCAAUCCACUUUUCAUGUAUAGACUCAAACUAAACCCUGAAAUUAAGGUUCAUUUUUUUUCAAAAUAUCCACGUUAUUUAUUUAUUUAUUUACUUGUAGUUGUAUGCCAAUAAAUCUAAUAGUUGAGUUUCAAGUAAGAGGGUUGUAUUGUCGAAGGCAUGAAGAUUUAGUUUUGGGGGUGUGGGCGGGGUGGGGGUUUAAAAAGGAGAAUAAGGUAAGGUUUGGGACUAGUGGCAGUGCAUAUUCAAAUAAUUAGAAUAAGUUUAGUAUUCAAAUAAUUAGAAUAAGGAAAAUACUGUACCCCUCUUUUAUCUAUGUACCUCAAAAAAUAAAGAAAGAUAUUAAAAUAUCUUCAUAUAUAUAUAAUUUUAUUUUAUUUUAAUAUUUUCAAAACAAAAGUAAGUUUAAAAAAAAUUUCGAAAAACUUUUUUCAAGUUUUUCGGUACACAACUUCCACUCUAGAAAACUUGAAAAAAGUUUUCCGAUACAAACAUUAUUUUCGAAAAUCUUUUAUGAAGUUUUUCGAUACACAACUUCCACUCCGGAAAACUUGAAAAAAGUUUUCCGGUACAAAACAUCAUUUCUGAAAAUCUUUUUGUUAAAACUUUUCCAAAAAACUUGAUUUUUUUUAAAAUAAUUUUGUUUUGUUUGAAUUUUUUUUAUUAUAUUAGUAUUUAUUUAAUUUAGUUGAUUUUAAUUAAUUUUUUUUUCCAGUAGGUAGCAAGAAUACAGACUUUGAAUCUUCAUGGAUCCUGUGCUGGAAAUGAUUCGUCUUACAGCAUCCAUCGAGUCAUGAUUUACGGGGUAUUAAUUAUUAAUUAUGGUAUAUUAAUUAUUAACUAUUAUGAUGUAUAAAUUAUUGAAUGGUGUAUUAAUUAUUUAUGGUGCAUUUAUAAAAAUAAUAAAAAAAAAAUAGUGUGUACCGGAAAUCAUUUCGAGAAAGUUUUCCAAUAGUACAAUUUUUUCACUUCUGUAUCGGAAAACUUUUUUUAAGUUUUUCGAAAAUAAAAUGUGUACCGGAAUUAUAGUAAAAAAAAUUUAAGGGUAUAAUUGACAUUUUCAAAAAAUUAUAGGGGUAUAAGUAUAAAAAUGGGAGUAAAGAAUAAAUUUUUCAAAGAUAAAUCAAGUGUUGAAAGUGAAAGAAACGAGAGUGUUUGGUGAUGGAAGGCUAAAACUUGUUUUGCAACAACAACAUACACAGAUUUAUAACUACAACAAAAAAUAAACAAAGAAAGAAAAUGAGAGAAAGAUUUUAUUUGUCAGCUCAAAGUGCGCAGGGGCAACCGCAUCCCCUAUAACUUUUUAUAAAUAAUAAUGAUAUUAUUGUAAAAAAAUAAUAGUGAUAGCAUCUCUCCCCAUCGUAAUCACAUAUCUCUCCUCUCCGCCUCUUUAACUCUCUUAUCUCAGUUAUCUUCUUGUUCUCCCUCUCUUCCCUUGGACUCUCACUCUCAGUCGCAGCAGUCGGCUGCCAACAUUUCUUAGUGAUCGUCAAACAAUCUCAAUCAAUUUAAAAUGACAAUGGUUCUUAUCAGUAAUAAUUUGUUUUUUAUCUUUACCACAAUGUAAAAGAGAUUAUUCAAUGAUUCUUAAAUCACAACCAAGUCGCUAAUAUCAUAUUAGAAAUUACACGAUUGAAGAGAUAAACGAAGUAGACAUUUGUUAGAAUUUAUAUUGAUAAAAUAUAAUAAAAUUAAUACAAUGAGCUCUAUAUACAGAUAAAUUAUUUAAUAUUGAAGGAUAAAUUAACUGAUAUCGAACAGACAAACUCUAACACCCUAAUUAGCAAGUCAACUACUACCUAUCAACAAACUAUAACUUUUACAUGUAAUAGUUCAUAUAUGAUGUAGUGUGAUACAAUUUGUUAAUUGAGAAUUGUUUUAGUUUGUUUCUGAACUGCUUUAAUUAAUUUUUUUAUUUUAGAAAUGACACGAUAUUUAAACAUAAGAAAAUUGAUGUAUUUUUUUAAGAAGAAAGUUUUCGACAAGGAUAAAAAUUAUAAAACGGAUACAUUUUAUUUGAUUGAAUGUGUGAAACUCUAAAAACUUUUAUGACUUGUGAAAAUUGUAAAAAUUGUGUGAAUCGAAACUCUAACUUUUUAAACUUGUCGACUAUAUAUGAAUUAUGUGAAACUCUAAAAAACACUAUAUGACUUAUAUGAAUUUCAACUAUAAUAUUUUAGUAGUAUUUGUUACUCCCCAACUCCUCCCAAUAUUUUUUACAAGAUCUGCCAUUGAUUGUUGUUGUUGUCCUUUAGAAACAAACAUAGUGACAUAGUUGCAUUUUUCCUCUUCGUCUUUUGUUCUUUAUUCCUCCUCACACAACCUUCUUAUUAUUCUUCUACCACACAAUCUCUCUCUAACAACUCAAUUUUGACCUCUUUGGGGACCCAAAAUAUAAAAAUGACAGGAGAUGAAACCAAGAUCGGGGUUAGGGAUUUUGGAAUUCAGAGUUGAAAUAAGAUGGAAAAGAGACGAUUUAUUGAAAAUUUAGGUUGUUGUUUAGCACAAAAAUCGUCGAAAAUAAUAUUUUUCAUUUAUAUGGGAUUUUUCUGCUAAUAAUAUCAACCAAAUUGGAUUUUAUAAUUUUUAAGAAUGUUUAUGUUAGUAAUUGCAAAGGGCCUCAAGACUGCCAAUAUUAUUUUUGGAGUUGAUUAGUAGUUAUGAUUUACUGUUGAAUAAAUCGCUUGUUGCUUAAGGUAAUGGAUUUGUCGUUGGCCAUGAAAGAAACACCUUAACGAUUACCUUUUGUCUUUACUAUGAAACAAUCACACAACGACAUUAAAAAUGAUUGGCUCACGUCAUACUAUCACAAUCGGCAUAAAUCACUUGAUGUAGGGGCAUUUGGAUAUGCCUAAAAAAUUCUAAGUUAUAAGUCGAGAGCGACAAACAACCGAUUAUAUAGAAAAGAGUCGAGGUAAACCUAAGUCAAGGCCAUAGUGAAUGAAUGAAAAGACAACUAAAGUUGAUGAAAUCAAAUCUUUCUCAAUCGUGCCAGAGUUUAUUUGACAAACCACGCAUCAAAAGAAAUUCAAAUGUGGUGGUGGCAGACAAUUCGACAAUGAAUUAUUGAUUUUUCAAGAUAUUCAAAAAUUAAAUAUAUUGAAAAAUAAAAGGAUAAGCAAGAGAUAUUAUUUUCGAGAAGCAUUGUGAGGAGAGAGGAGAAACAUGCCACAUAGUUGGUCGCAAAAUGUGGAAUACAAGGCAAGCAAUAACUAGUCACGAUCUCAGACACGACGACACGAGUUGGCCGAAUAAUGACAAUUGGAACAUUAUUAUUAGUUGACCAUAAUUAUGGCUAAAAGGACUUAACUGUUACGAUUAUUUUCAGUCAAUAAAUACUCAUUACAAUUGUCAUUGUAAACACACGUCAAUAAAAAUCUUAAUUUUACGUGUAUUUUAUUUGCACUCUAUCUUUACUUAUAUUUUCCUUAAGUGCUUAAUUCUCACAAAUUUCAAUAUUAGACUUAAUGCUCUUUGGAGUAAAUAAAGAACUUACAAACGAAUAACAAAGUUCAUUCUUUAGCGUAAUCACUUGAUGUAAAGAGAAUCGUUGAAAACUUAAUUUUAGCCAAUCAUCUCGGCUAACUUUCUAGUUCGAAAACAAUAUUAUAUACACUUGUCCAAAUGUUCGACCUCUCAGUAGUGCGUAUGAAAAGACAUAUAUUGAAAUAUGUCAACUCUUUAAAUAGAUCUUAGUUACAUCAAAUAAUUAAUCUCUACAGUUAAACACAUGAAUAUCUUGGAUUUUUUUAAAAAACUAACACCUAUUUGAUUAUUAAAAUAACUCAUACAUAAACAGUUACAUAAUUAACAUUUAUUCAAUAAAUAUACUUGAUUAAAUUAUUUACUCAAAUGCAUAGUUAGUUAUCUCUUUCAUACUUUUAUCCUCACAUAUUUGCUGCUGGUGGUUACUGAUCCAAGACAAUCGUACAUAUCAUCCAUUUUUGCCGCACACUUCUUAAUAUAUAAACAUUACUCAAACAAGAGUCAUGACAAACCUAGGACAAAUAACACUUAAAAUUUCAUUGAAAAUAAAAACAGAAAAUCACUUUCUCCUAUACCAAUCCCCCACAAUAAGAAAAAUAUCCAAAAAGAAAUAGAAAAUAGAAAGAAAAAAAAAACCAUUUCAAUCUUAUGAACAUAUAUAUAUAUAUAUAUAUUAUAUUAGCCUAGCUUUCAUUGGUUGGCUUUUGUGCCAAUGGAAUAUCACCUCCACCAACAACAUUGUCACUAGCACAUACAACAACACUACCAAGCAAUUUCCUUUUAGGUUUGGCCUCUUGCAGCAUCAACACAACAUCUCUCAUUGAAGGUCUAUCAGCUGGAUUUCUACUUGUACAACGUAAUGCAAUUCUAAGCAUUUGUAUCAUUUCUUCCCUCACUGAGCUACACCUUGCCCCUGCAUUCUUGUCCAAUAUACCAUCUAUACCGUCUUUAGUUUUUAUUUUGGACCUAACCCAAUCUACGAUGCUAUUUGCAUCGCCGAAUUCUUGAUCCAUUGAACGUUUUCCACUUAAAAUUUCCAUUAACACAACUCCAUAGCUGUAAAUAUCACUCUUCUCAUCAACUUGUAGUGUAUAAGCAUAUUCUGCAAAAAUCAAACAACACCCUAUGUUAUUAUCAAUUAUGAUUAGUUAGUUAAUUAAUUGAUAGUAAAGUCUAAAUUGCAUUUAAAAAAUUGUAAAUAAAUUUUUCAUAAUCAAUUAAAAUUAGAUAUGUUUAUUCUACUAAUUAUGUUAAACUUAAUUUUUUUAAUAAAAAAAUAGUAGAAUAUCAUUAAAAAUCAUUUCAAUCCUUUUACUUUAAUGGAUUAACUAAAAUUCAAAGUCAACAUCCUCAUGAUUCAAAGUAGUUGUGAUAAUUGACAUAAUUCUCAGUGGACCCCAUUAAAUAUUUGAAGAUGAUGGACAAAAAAGCAACUCAUGAAAGUGAAAAAAAUAAAGGAAAAGUCUCUUCAUGCGCAAUAGUGCACCUACCCAUGCACCGAAAUUUGUCACAAAAUUGUGCCUCCUUCUAAGAUGCACAUAAAUUGGAUGAUAUGUGGUAGAAUUUCAAAAAAGUUUGCACAACAAUGUAGACAACAACAUCAAAGUUUUAAUGUAUUUGUAAUUAUAAUUAAAAUGGCACCACAUUGAUUAUAUUUGACUAUAAUUCUUUGAAAUUUGAAGAAUUUCAAUUUUUAUUGUGAUCAUGAUUUUGAAUGAAAUUCACAUGAUUCAAAUUUUAAACUUAAUUUGAUGCCGUUAUUUGAUCUAGAAUGGUUUUCACGACUACUAUAUAGUGCAAUUGUUGAAAAAUAUCCAAACACAUAUCUAAAAUCAUGCUCUACCAUUGUGAUGAACCACAUUUCACCUCACCUAAGAUAUAGCAACCUUAAAAGUUUUGUUCAUAUUAAUGAGAUAAUAAUAAUAAAAGUAAAGAAGAAGAAUGUGGUGGUGACCUGGAGCAAUGUAACCAUAGGAUCCAGCAAUGACAGACAUGGACUCAUCCGUUUGAAUCAACUUAGCAACACCAAAAUCAGCUACUCUAGCCUCCAUAUCAGCGUCCAAUAAAAUGUUACUAGGUUUAAGAUCCCUAUGAACAAUAACAGGAUCACAGUCAUGGUGAAGAUAGCAUAUCCCCUGAGCCACACCCAAAGCUAUCUUAUACCUUGUAAACCAAUCAGCAACCAUAUUGUCCCCUUUAUUCUUUGCAUGUAACAAAUCAUCGAGGUUCCCAUUUGGCAUGUACUCGUAAAGCAGCAUUGUACACUCCCUGUUGCUGCAACACCCUAACAAUCUCA